This 490-nucleotide ribosomal RNA is filed under the name uncultured bacterium. RNAcentral's name for it is "bacterial SSU rRNA". It matches the Rfam family "Bacterial small subunit ribosomal RNA", at positions 340 to 820 of the family's 1533-position model. The record is from RNAcentral.
UACGGGAGGCAGCAGUGGGGAAUAUUGCACAAUGGGCGCAAGCCUGAUGCAGCCAUGCCGCGUGUAUGAAGAAGGCCUUCGGGUUGUAAAGUACUUUCAGUCGUGAGGAAGGUGUUAAGGUUAAUAACCUUAGCAAUUGACGUUAGCGACAGAAGAAGCACCGGCUAACUCCGUGCCAGCAGCCGCGGUAAUACGGAGGGUGCGAGCGUUAAUCGGAAUUACUGGGCGUAAAGGGCACGCAGGCGGUUAAUUAAGUUGGAUGUGAAAUCCCCGGGCUUAACCUGGGAAUGGCAUUCAAGACUGGUUAGCUAGAGUCUUGUAGAGGGGGUAGAAUUCCAUGUGUAGCGGUGAAAUGCGUAGAGAUGUGGAGGAAUACCGGUGGCGAAGGCGGCCCCUGGGACAAAGACUGACGCUCAUGUGCGAAAGCGUGGGGAGCAAACAGGAUUAGAUACCCUCGGAAGGAAUCCAAGGCACAACAAGGGGAAUAAGG